RNAcentral lists this ribosomal RNA (240 nucleotides) under uncultured bacterium. Its description in RNAcentral is "partial 16S ribosomal RNA". It matches the Rfam family "Bacterial small subunit ribosomal RNA", at positions 80 to 334 of the family's 1533-position model. The record is from RNAcentral.
CAAUCCCUGAGUAAAGUGGCGCACGGGUGAGUAACACGUGACUAACCUACCUUUUAGUGGGGGAUAACCUAGGGAAACCUGGGCUAAUACCGCAUAAUACCUACGGGUCAAAGCAGCAAUGCGCUGGAAGAGGGGGUCGCGGCCGAUUAGCUAGUUGGCGGGGUAAUGGCCCACCAAGGCAGUGAUCGGUAUCCGGCCUGAGAGGGCGCACGGACACACUGGAACUGAAACACGGUCCAG